UCUCAGUUCGGAUCGGAGUCUGCAACCCGACUCCGUGAAGCUGGAUUCGCUAGUAAUCGCGCAUCAGCCAUGGCGCGGUGAAUACGUUCCCGGGCCUUGUACACACCGCCCGUCAAGCCAUGGAAGCCGGGGGCGCUUGAAGUGCGUUGCCGCAAGGCGCGCCCUAGAGCGAAACCGGUGACUGGGGCUAAGUCGUAACAAGGUAUC
RNAcentral lists this ribosomal RNA (207 nucleotides) under uncultured bacterium. RNAcentral's name for it is "partial 16S ribosomal RNA". It matches the Rfam family "Bacterial small subunit ribosomal RNA", at positions 1286 to 1500 of the family's 1533-position model. The record is from RNAcentral.